RNAcentral lists this ribosomal RNA (492 nucleotides) under uncultured bacterium. Its description in RNAcentral is "partial 16S ribosomal RNA". It matches the Rfam family "Bacterial small subunit ribosomal RNA", at positions 29 to 507 of the family's 1533-position model. The record is from RNAcentral.
AGUGAACGCUGGCGGUAGGCCUAACACAUGCAAGUCGAACGGCAGCACAGUAAGAGCUUGCUCUUACGGGUGGCGAGUGGCGGACGGGUGAGGAAUACAUCGGAAUCUACUUUUUCGUGGGGGAUAACGUAGGGAAACUUACGCUAAUACCGCAUACGACCUACGGGGGAAAGCAGGGGAUCUUCGGACCUUGCGCGAUUGAAUGAGCCGAAGUCGGAUUAGCUAGUUGGCGGGGUAAAGGCCCACCAAGGCGACGAUCCGUAGCUGGUCUGAGAGGAUGAUCGGCCACACUGGAACUGAGACACGGUCCAGACUCCUACGGGAGGCAGCAGUGGGGAAUAUUGGACGAUGGGCGCAAGCCUGAUCCAGCCAUACCGCGUGGGUGAAGAAGGCCUUCGGGUUGUAAAGCCCUUUUGUUGGGAGAGAAGAGCAGCAGGUUAAUACCCCGCUGUUCUGACGGUACCCAAAGAAUAAGCACCGGCUAACUUCGUG